Molecule: long non-coding RNA, 314 nt
Filed under: Elaeis guineensis (African oil palm)
Lineage: Eukaryota; Viridiplantae; Streptophyta; Magnoliopsida; Arecales; Arecaceae
Description: long non-coding RNA (EGUI_LNC046903)
Source: RNAcentral
CUCCUUCCAGUUGUUCUCUAACAUUCUCUUGAGAAGAGAAACAUGAGAAAAAUUUUAGUAUAUAAGGAGCAAAUUUUGAAAGGAUGCUAGCACCUGAUGAGAUCAAGAUCUUCUGAUCAAAUCAACCUCAUGUGGAUACCUGUAGAGACUGGAUGCAAGUGUGGCUUCAAAGGAACCUUCAAAAUAUUCACGGAUCAUCGAAUCGUGAUGAAGAUCUACCCAUACAAAGUAAAGAUCAGAUCUUCUUCUAUUUUAUUUUAUCUUAAUCUUAAAUCUAUGAGGCAUCUUAAUGUUUUUAAGAUACGCUCUCAUGC